Molecule: transfer RNA, 54 nt
Filed under: Oxyrrhis marina
Lineage: Eukaryota; Dinophyceae; Oxyrrhinales; Oxyrrhinaceae
Source: RNAcentral
GCCUUGUGGUUAAGCCACCAGGUUUUAAACCUGAUGGUCGUAGGUACGAGACCC